RNAcentral lists this long non-coding RNA (931 nucleotides) under Aquilegia coerulea. RNAcentral's name for it is "long non-coding RNA (ACOE_LNC000985)". The record is from RNAcentral. Lineage: Eukaryota; Viridiplantae; Streptophyta; Magnoliopsida; Ranunculales; Ranunculaceae.
UUCUAGAUUUUCUCAUUCACUUCGGGGUUUUCCAUUUCCAUCAACAGUUGUUACUCACUCUAUUAAGUGCACUUCUGAUGUAAGCAGCUUUGAUCAUGUGGUUGAAGGUAAUACUAACAUCUACUUAUCUUCUCUGUAUUACUUACUCGUAUAAGAAAGAAAUGUUUUGUGGGUUUUUCUUAUUUUUGUGAAAAAGGGGUUUUUGGGUUUCCAAGAUUCUGAUUUGAUAUAUUAAUUGCAUUUGGUUUUCUUGGAUUUUGGGUGAUUUGGGGUUUAUUCCCAUUUCAAUAUCUCUGUUUCACAAACAAACAAACAAUGGAAUGUGUCAAUCAAUGUGUUGAUGUUAUCUUGCUUUGAAUGUUAUUGUUCGUGCUCAUUAAUUCUUCAUGUUUAUGUUUGUUUGUUUGUUUUCCCAAGAUUCUGCUUGUGAUGAUGUCCUCAUCAUCAAUCUUUUCAAGAUUGUUGAGAUUAUUAAGGCGGAGAGAAAGAACAACAUUCAUAUUGAGGCAAAGAUUAACUGGUUUUACUUGUGUGGGCUUGUUCUUUUAUUCAUGUUUGUUCCUGCGCUAGCUGGUUUUAUAUUUUUAUUUUUAUUUUUGUAUCUUCUUCUUCUCAAGAUGAUGAUGGUAGUGUGAACAAGUUUACUACUGGUGUCUGGUAGUAGUAUGUUAACAAGAUGUUUAGUGUUUCCGGCCUGUUUGAAGUACUAUAUAUGUUAUAUGAAUGCUCUUUUAGAAUUUUGCCACAGUUAGAUAGAUUAUGGGUACCCUUUGAUUAUUGUUUUUCAUAGCAAUUUAGCUUGAAUGUCGUGAGCAUUUUUGUUUGAAAAUCAAGAAGCUCUCUAUAUAUGGCUUGUAAUCUUUUAUUGAAAUCUAUCAGAUUUCUCUCAUUUAAGUUGGUUUGAUGUAUAUAUGACUAAUAGAAGUUGAAC